CCUACGGGAGGCAGCAGUGAGGAAUAUUGGUCAAUGGACGCAAGGCUGAACCAGCCAUGCCGCGUGCAGGAAGACGGAUCUAUGAGUUGUAAACUGCUUUUAUACGAGGGUAAACGCAGCUACGCGUAUCUGUCUGCAAGUAUCGUACGAAUAAGGAUCGGCUAACUCCGUGCCAGCAGCCGCGGUAAUACGGAGGAUUCGAGCGUUAUCCGGAUUUAUUGGGUUUAAAGGGUGCGGAGAUGGGUUUGUAAGUUAGAUGUGAAAGUUUGUGGCUCAACCGUAAAAUUGCAUUUGAUACUGGUAGACUUGAGGGUAGUUGAGGUAGGCGGAAGGUGUGGUGUAGCGGUGAAAUGCUUAGAGAUCACUCAGAACUCCGAUUGCGAAGGCAGCUUACUAAGCUACUACUGACAUUGAUGCACGAAAGCGUGGGGAUCAAACAGGAUUAGAUACCCCUGUAGUC
This 460-nucleotide ribosomal RNA is filed under the name uncultured bacterium. RNAcentral's name for it is "partial 16S ribosomal RNA". It matches the Rfam family "Bacterial small subunit ribosomal RNA", at positions 338 to 795 of the family's 1533-position model. The record is from RNAcentral.